UACAGAGGGAGCAAGCGUUGUUCGGAAUUACUGGGCGUAAAGGGCGCGUAGGCGGUUCGAUAAGUCCCGUGUGAAAUCCCUCGGCUCAACUGAGGAAUUGCACGGGAAACUGACGGGCUUGAGUUCGGGAGAGGGAAGCGGAAUUCCGGGUGUAGCGGUGAAAUGCGUAGAUAUCCGGAGGAACACCGGUGGCGAAGGCGGCUUCCUGGACCGACACUGACGCUGAGGCGCGAAAGCUAGGGGAGCAAACAGG
Molecule: ribosomal RNA, 253 nt
Filed under: uncultured bacterium
Lineage: Bacteria
Description: partial 16S ribosomal RNA
Rfam family: Bacterial small subunit ribosomal RNA
Source: RNAcentral